Molecule: ribosomal RNA, 510 nt
Filed under: uncultured bacterium
Lineage: Bacteria
Description: bacterial SSU rRNA
Rfam family: Bacterial small subunit ribosomal RNA
Source: RNAcentral
GAGUUUGAUCCUGGCUCAGGAUGAACGCUGGCGGCGUGCUUAACACAUGCAAGUCGAACGAAGCACUUGGGAAAGAUUCUUCGGAUGAAAGCCUUUGUGACUGAGUGGCGGACGGGUGAGUAACGCGUGGGUAACCUACCUCAUACAGGGGGAUAACAGUUGGAAACGACCGCUAAUACCGCAUAACCCGCUAGUAUCGCAUGAUACGGACGGAAAAGAUUUAUCGGUAUGAGAUGGACCCGCGUCUGAUUAGCCAGUUGGCAGGGUAACGGCCUACCAAAGCGACGAUCAGUAGCCGGCCUGAGAGGGUGAACGGCCACAUUGGGACUGAGACACGGCCCAAACUCCUACGGGAGGCAGCAGUGGGGAAUAUUGCACAAUGGGGGAAACCCUGAUGCAGCGACGCCGCGUGAGUGAGGAAGUAUUUCGGUAUGUAAAGCUCUAUCAGCAGGGAAGAAAAUGACGGUACCUGACUAAGAAGCCCCGGCUAACUACGUGCCAGCAGCCGCG